This 76-nucleotide transfer RNA is filed under the name bacterium. RNAcentral's name for it is "tRNA-Val". It matches the Rfam family "tRNA". From Rfam's summary of the family: Transfer RNA (tRNA) molecules are approximately 80 nucleotides in length. The record is from RNAcentral.
GGGCGGUUAGCUCAGCUGGUAGAGCGGCGGCGUCACAAGCCGUAGGUCGUUGGUUCAAGUCCAAUACCGCCCACCA